This is a long non-coding RNA of Salvelinus sp. IW2-2015, 1419 nucleotides long. RefSeq lists it as uncharacterized. The record is from RefSeq and is a predicted model, not a curated record. NCBI's taxonomy places the organism in Eukaryota, Metazoa, Chordata, Actinopteri, Salmoniformes, Salmonidae.
UCCACUUUCAAGACCAAAUGCAUCUACUGUGUGUAUGACCAACAGUAGUACCAUGAACACAAGAGGCAGGUGAGCGAUAAACAGACCAUAAUGCAGAAGCCUAAUAACCACAGCAGCCGGUCUCCUAAGGUGAAGGAGAAGGACCUUCACCUGAUGAUGAUAAUGUCGUCUAUUGCUGUCUCACAUGACACACUAUUCCCUAUAUAGUAUAGUGCACUACUUUUGACUAGAGCCCACUCUUUUCCAUUAAGUGCACUACUUGUAACCAGAGCUACAUUGUGACAAGACCGGCUUUGUAGUAAACACUAGGAUUUGACAGUAUAAUCAGCCUACUAGUGUGUGGAUGUAUUCUGUGUUUUUUAACCCUGUCUUUACUCCCACUGAUGGUGAUACAGGACAAGAGCCUGGAGACUGUGGAGGCUACCCACUCAGCACCCUGGAAUAAACCACAUUCCUCUAAACUGGCUGAUCCAGGUAGUGACUAACUAUGGGAACGAACACGCAGGACAGCUGUCUGCCAUCACUGUGUUUAUGCUUUUCCCUGUCUCCCUGGCUCGUAUAUUCACCUCAAUACAAGUAUUUGUGAAUAGGCUUUACGUUACAUUUACAUUUGAGUCAUUCCGAAGAUGCACUUAUCCUGAGCGGCUUGUGUGUGUGUGUGUGAGUGUAUAUGCGUCCUAAAUGGAACCCUGUUCCCUAUAGUGCGCUCCUUUUGACCACAGCUCUAUUGUCCCUGGUCAAAAUGAGUGUACACUAAAGGGAAAAGUAAUCUUCUUUACACUCGAGGUUUAGGUCAGGGUCAAAGACACCAAGGUUUCUGGCCGUAGGCUUUACAUUGGUGGGCAAAUGACCUGGGUUAUUUCCAAACUGGGUUCUAUCAAGGUGAGGGGCCAAGUAAAACAACCUCUAUAAAAUGUGUCCACUGUAUGUCAGAGUGUGUAUAUGCGUCCCAAAUAUGUAUAUGGGCCCUGGUCAAAAGGAGUGCACUCUAAAGGGAAAAGGGUGCUGUUUGGGACUCAGACUGUGUGUGAUCCUGUCCUAAUCCAACAAACUCUUCUUCCUGGUUUCUCUCUGUAAACAGGAAACAGGUGACUCUCUGAUGGCCCUGACCUAUGUCAUAUCCUCUUCCUGUAACGGCCUCAUCGCUGCCCAGCUCCUGUACUACUGGAACAGCAGCUCCACACUGAAGAAGAAGAUGGAGUAGACUGGACACUAAGGCAGUCUGUAAUGGGAACCUAGUUUUGAAGUAGCGCACUAUAUAAAGACUGGUGUGCCAUUCAAGAUGCAGACAAUGACAGAGAGAUUAUAUUUUGACAAGUGUGUAUGGAUCUACAAUGACAGAGAUUAUAUAGACAAGUGUGUAUGGAUCUAAAAUGGCACCCUAUACCUAUGUAGUUCACUACUUAUGACAGGACUAUU